UUAGACUCAAACAUAUAGAAAAGAGAAGAGAGAGAACCAAAGAGAGAGAGAGCUUCAUUGUUUUUGCAUGCAAUGUAAUUAAUCUGUUGGUGCAAAACCGUGAGAAAGAGAGAGACAACCGUGGGUGAGAAAGAGAGAACCAUGAAUGAGGGAGAGUUUAACUCCUUAAAUCUUUGCUGGAAAUUUGAAGGAAAACCAAGGGAAAAGUGAAGAAAAGGAAGGAGAAACUCAAGUUUGGCUUGGAUUUGUCAAAAUUAUGCAAGAUUAAACGUCUAUGAAGACUCUAGGUGAUCAGGCGCGUGACCAGGCUUAGAGGCUUCUGCCUAGAACCAGUUUUGUCAGCCAACCUAUGUGCCUCCCGUGGAGGUUUCGGAUAUGUCAAGUGAUUAUUGCUAUGUGAUCUAAAGUUUAAGUUUUAUUUUCGUGUUUAGUUGAACAAGUCUUGUGUAUUUUGUAAAUAGGGUUAAGUUCCUUUUUGUCUAAUCUGUGUUUAUAUGACGACUUAAAGUUAAUAUGUAUAUGUGUACAUAAAAAGUUUAAAAUUUUUCUGUCUCAUAUAA
This is a non-coding RNA of Camellia sinensis, 560 nucleotides long. The record is from RefSeq and is a predicted model, not a curated record. NCBI's taxonomy places the organism in Eukaryota, Viridiplantae, Streptophyta, Magnoliopsida, Ericales, Theaceae.